GAAGAAAGUUGAAAACCUGUAACCAUUAACUUCCAUAGUAUUUGUAUUUUAGAAAAUUAAAAUCAAUGGUUACCAGUUUUCAGCUUUCUUC
RNAcentral lists this microRNA precursor (91 nucleotides) under Danio rerio (zebrafish). RNAcentral describes it as "miRNA (ENSDARG00000108165.2)". The record is from RNAcentral. Lineage: Eukaryota; Metazoa; Chordata; Actinopteri; Cypriniformes; Danionidae.